This 431-nucleotide ribosomal RNA is filed under the name uncultured Opitutus sp. RNAcentral's name for it is "bacterial SSU rRNA". It matches the Rfam family "Bacterial small subunit ribosomal RNA", at positions 355 to 779 of the family's 1533-position model. Lineage: Bacteria; Pseudomonadati; Verrucomicrobiota; Opitutia; Opitutales; Opitutaceae. The record is from RNAcentral.
UUUCGAAUCAUUCACAAUGGGCGAAAGCCUGAUGGUGCGACGCCGCGUGAGGGAUGAAGGUCUUCGGAUCGUAAACCUCUGUCACCGGGGAAGAAACGCUAUACGUUAACAUCGGAUAGCCUGACUUAACCCGGAGAGGAAGCAGUGGCUAACUCUGUGCCACCACCCGCGGUAAUCCAGAGACUGCAAGCGUUAUUCGGAUUCACUGGGCGUAAAGGGUGCGCAGGCGGCCGUGUGUGUGAGGUGUGAAAUCCCGGAGCUUAACUCCGGAACUGCGCCUCAAACUACAUGGCUAGAGCAUUGGAGAGGGAAGUGGAAUUCACGGUGUAGCAGUGAAAUGCGUAGAUAUCGUGAGGAACACCAGAGGCGAAGGCGACUUCCUGGACAAUUGCUGACGCUCAGGCACGAAAGCGUGGGGAGCAAAAGGGAUU